Molecule: ribosomal RNA, 542 nt
Filed under: uncultured bacterium
Lineage: Bacteria
Description: bacterial SSU rRNA
Rfam family: Bacterial small subunit ribosomal RNA
Source: RNAcentral
AAUAGAUACCCCGGUAGUCCACGCUGUAAACGAUGAGAACUAGAUGUUGGUUGGCCACGCGCCAACGAGUAUCGAAGCUAACGCGUUAAGUUCUCCGCCUGGGGAGUACGGCCGCAAGGUUAAAACCCAAAGGAAUUGACGGGGGCCCGCACAAGCGGUGGAGCAUGUGGUUUAAUUCGAUGCAACGCGAAGAACCUUACCUACCCUUGACAUGGUUGGAAUCCUGCAGAGAUGUGGGAGUGCCCGCGAGGGAGCCAAUACACAGGUGCUGCAUGGCUGUCGUCAACUCGUGUCGUGAGAUGUUGGGUUAAGUCCCGUAACGAGCGCAACCCUCGUCCUUAGUUGCCAUCAAGUAACGUUGGGAACUCUAAGGAGACUGCCGGUGAUAAACCGGAGGAAGGUGGGGAUGAUGUCAAGUCAUCAUGGCCCUUAUGGGUAGGGCAACACACGUGCUACAAUGGCCGGUACAAUGGGAAGCGAAGCUGUGAGGUGGAGCAAAUCCUGAUAAGCCGGUCGUAGUCCGGAUUGGAGUCUGCAACUCG